RNAcentral lists this ribosomal RNA (395 nucleotides) under uncultured bacterium. RNAcentral's name for it is "bacterial SSU rRNA". It matches the Rfam family "Bacterial small subunit ribosomal RNA", at positions 29 to 417 of the family's 1533-position model. The record is from RNAcentral.
AACGAACGCUAGCGGUGUGGAUUAGGCAUGCAAGUCGCGCGCGAAAGCCUUCGGGCGAGUAAAGCGGCGAAAGGGUGAGUAACACGUAACCAACGUACCCCUCAGACUGGGAUAACCACUGGAAACGGUGGAUAAUACCGGAUGGUCCACUGGGCAGCAUUGCCUGGCUGGUAAACGGCGGCCGCAAGGCGGUUGCUGAGGGAGCGGGUUGCGGCCUAUCAGCUUGUUGGUGAGGUAACGGCUCACCAAGGCUAUGACGGGUAACAGGUCUGAGAGGAUGAUCUGUCACACUGGGACUGGGACACUGCCCAGACUCCUACGGGAGGCUGCAGUCGAGAAUCUUCCACAAUGGGCGAAAGCCUGAUGGAGCGACACCGCGUGCAGGAUGAAGGCCU